AUGGGUUUCAAGGCCUCUGUUUGACUGCACACUGAGAUAUUUUCUCCAGAAAAAGGUCCAAAUCCCCCGUCCUUCUAGGGAAGCAGCCAGCAGCAGGAACAGAGUCUCUGAACAGUUACCUCUUGACUUGAGGGGGGCAGGACAGCCGUUGCUUCAGGUCCUGGCAGCCCAUCGCCUACUCUUGGGGAGGUUCCCCAGGAAGUGGGGAAGGAGCUACAGUACCCCAGGGUGUGGAUCCAGGCCUUUCUGAAGAUACCAAUGCCUAAGAGCGUUCAAGUCCCUACUGUGAAAUGACCCAGUAUUCACCAGUCUCUCUGAUCAUCUUCCUACGUACUCCCCUUUAGAUGAUCACUUAUAUUGUCUGCCAUUGUGUAAGCACCGUAUGAAUGCCAUCUACCUUGGACUGCUGGAGAAUAAUAAAUGAUUAGAAGAAAAAAAAAAAAAAAAAAAAAAAAAAAAAAAAAAAAAAAAAAAAAAAAAAAAAAA
RNAcentral lists this long non-coding RNA (486 nucleotides) under Mus musculus (house mouse). RNAcentral describes it as "Tst2". The record is from RNAcentral. Lineage: Eukaryota; Metazoa; Chordata; Mammalia; Rodentia; Muridae.